This is a long non-coding RNA of Aethalodelphis obliquidens (Pacific white-sided dolphin), 2951 nucleotides long. RefSeq lists it as uncharacterized. The transcript is spliced from 3 exons. NCBI's taxonomy places the organism in Eukaryota, Metazoa, Chordata, Mammalia, Artiodactyla, Delphinidae. The record is from RefSeq and is a predicted model, not a curated record.
CCCUGUGGCCUUUCACCAGGUGGUCCGUGUCUCUCCUUCCUCUAGGCCUGGCCUCUGACCCCCGCUUUUAGGUUACUUCCUAGGUCAGGCCCUACAGUCUAGACAAAGACUUCACUCCCUAGCGCAACUGGGCUUUUCUAAUAGCACCACCACCAAUAAUAAUAAUAAAAUAAUAAAUAGUAUUCAUAAUUGCCACAGACAGAACUUACUAAGUGUCAAACACUGUGCUAGGUGCUUCUGUACUUCAUCUUGUUUAACUUUUAAACCAACCCUGAAUGAUGGGUAGAACUACUCCUGCUUUAUGAAGUCUAAGGGGCCUAAGUGAUUUGUCUAAGAACCCAGCUAACAAGUGACAGGGUCUAAAUUUAAACCGGAGUCUGUAUGACUCCAAGGCCUAAGCUGCCUUCUCCUCUUCAACCACCGUUGUCUCUCAGAUUCAAGGGCCCAGUCCCCCUGGGUGUGAAGUGGGGCCCUGGCCGGCCUCUUAGAUCCCUCCGCCUUCCCCAAGGAGUGAACAAAAGCUGCAAGGUCAGGCCUGGGUCAAGGCUGUCCAGGGGCCAACCUCUAGCCCUUGUCCUCUCCUCCCCGCCUGCUGGGUUGGAACCACACCCACCAACCCAGCCCAGGCCUCAGGCCCAGAGGCCACUCAGCAGUGAGGCCAGCUUUCCGGGGUUUCCCAAGUGAGGACAAGACGAUUGGGAAGGCAGCUCCCCGGGGCUCUGAAGUGCUGGGUCAGCAGCAUCCUGGGGCCCGGUGGGGGUGUCUGGCAGAGGCAGUGGACACAGCACGAGAAGCUCUGCCUCUCACAUGUCCCGUCCUCUCCAGGUCCCAGGGCUCCGUCCUCAGGACCACAGACAGGGCGUCUCCAGCCUUCAUCAAAUGCUAGGAGGAGGAUGCUGAGGGCACAGCACCUACUACACUGCAUUAUAACUAGUUCGGGGACUGUCUCUCCCAUGAGACUGAGUGACUUUCUGUUUCCAGGGAGCAGCAUAGUGACAGCACAGAGAACACCUGACGAUGCCUGGCAAAUGAGUAAGCGCGUGGAGGGGUGGAGCCAGAUGUGCCUCUGAGAAGAACUUCACAAGAGCUGGAGGCCGCCCCUCCCUCCAUGGCCCACAUAUACCUGCAUCUCCGUGUCCCCAGCUCCUCCCCUCCCCCUGACCUCAGCUUCCCCGCUCAACAGUCCGCUGGUGCUCCUCUGAGCUGCCCCGAGGCCUGCUGGGAACUCCUCCACCUGCUUGAUGACUUGGCCUCCUGGGAUCUGAGAGAUAAAGGGCCUUUAGAGACGAUGUAUUUCAACCACUUGAAGUCCUGCCACUUGAAGCCAGCGAGGACAAAGAGAGAAUCCCGUUCGUAUUGCUCGGGCCGCUGCAUGGCACCCUCAGGAUGGACUGGACGACACUGUCAGAUGCAGCCAAGAUGUCAAGUUAGGGAAUGAAAAGCAUCCUUUGGAUCUCCUGGGGGCACUGAGCAGUUUCACUGAAGUGGUGAGGGGAGAAGAUAUUCUUCAAGAGUAAAUGGUGAGUAAGAGGAGACAGUUGGCACGGGCAAUCUUUCUAGAAGUCGCAUGAGAAAGCGUAAGGAAACAAACCUUGAAGGAAAUGUUCUGUACUAAGUGCCUUCAGAUACACUUCAUGGUGGGCCUCGGGGAAGGUCACAGAUCCCUUCCUUUACCCGCCUCCAAUUUCACGUCUAAGGAAAAGCGUACUGCUGCUCACUGGCCAAGGCCAAGGGUGUGGACUGGGCUUUUGUUUUCUAGGAGGGGAACCUGAGCAGAAUGGUCAUAAACUGUGGGGUGCUUUUUCUUGCUGGAUGGUGGGCUGUGUAUCGGGCUUUCCUGCCCUUCAUGGCUUAGCAGGAUCCGAAUCUUGAGUGAGGAUUUAGGAGCAAAGUUAGGCUGCUUGGCUACCUGCACCCAUGAAAAAGGAGUUCUUCAUGGGGUUCAACCCAACCCAUGAGAUUUGUCCUUGGAGGUUGAAGGUCAAAGCUCCAGUUCAAGAGUACCCUUUUGCUGGCCACUGUCUUUUUUUCAGGGAGGCGUGGGCCAGCUAGGUAGAGGGUUCAGGCGUUCUUGAGUCUGCUGGCCAAAUGAUAUCACCCCUUUAACCGUUAUCUUAUUUAAUUCUGACCACAACCUAAUACAGUGGUAUUAUUCUCUCCAUUUAACUGAUGAAGAAACUAAAGCAAAACAUGUUAGUAACUUGUCCAUGGUCACAGCUAAUAAAGAGGUAGUACUGGGACCGGAGCCUUCUAUGUCUGACGCUAAAGCUGAAACUCUACCAUGCCAUGAAAUAGGGCAGUAACUUGACACGGAAAGAGAACUGUAAAACUCUCAGGGAUGGGAAAGUCUUAUGUCAGGAACUGCAUGGGUGAGGUCCUUGAGGCAAUAGAAGGGGACAGUUCUGAGAGUAUAGGGGGAAAGGUUAGCCUUGGACAGGAUAAAAAAGGACUGGAGGGGAGGCUAGGUUAAGGUGAAAAAAAUCAGAAGGGGAUGAUGGAGGGCCCUGGGGGCAGCCGUCUGGAUGGCCUCUAUUUUCUCUGGGAUUUCCCCCCUCAUAUCUAGUCCUCUAGCACUGCUGUCUCUGGUACCCGUUUUGUGUGAUCUCACAGCACAGUGUUCUUCCCUCAUCAGAGUCCUUACUGCACUCCAAGUACCUGUGUCUGCAUUAGACUGGAACUUUUUGAGGAGAGGAACCACAUCUGUCUACUCCACUGUUGUGUACCUAGCCCCCGGCAAAGUGGUGGUUUCUGAGUAAACAUUCCACUAAAGAAGUAAGAAAAAAGGAAGGACAGGAAAGAGGGAGAGAAGGUAGGGCAUUGUUGAGAGGGGUGGAUUCCCAGCAGGGAGACUUCUGAGGGUACAGCCCUGUCCUGACACUGGGGAGGUAGCUUGGGGGAUGAGAUGUUAAUGUAAAGUGGGGCAGGGUUCCCAACAUACCUUGACCUUUGAU